Molecule: long non-coding RNA, 427 nt
Filed under: Helianthus annuus (common sunflower)
Lineage: Eukaryota; Viridiplantae; Streptophyta; Magnoliopsida; Asterales; Asteraceae
Description: sRNA HanXRQr2_Chr02g0063611
Source: RNAcentral
AAAUAUUAGCUUGAUAUUUUGAUUUGCAAUUUAAAAGAUGGAUAUAACCUCCGAGUAUUUUGUGAAAACACAUUUUCGGUAUUGAUGCAUUAGGAGCAUGUCUUUAAUUCGAAGUGACCAUCGUUAUAUCUUUAUAUCAUUUUUUUACAUCGAUCUACAAGGAACCUGAAAUCCAUCAAUGUUACACAAACAAGUUUUGUUUGAAAAAUCUCACAUGAACAAAGAUCAAGGUUGUUAGAUGUUUUGCAUUGGAACUUGCUGUCUGGAGUAGCUGGAGUGGUCACGGGUCGACUGGAUAGAUUUAUGUUAUGGAUUUCUUGAUACUAUACUUUGGUUUUGAAACUGUUUAAUUUUGCUUCCGCUGAAUACUUUGGUUUUCACUUAAACUUGUUGAUGGUAUUCUAUUAAUAAUUAAGGAUUUUAUUUU